This 502-nucleotide ribosomal RNA is filed under the name Vreelandella aquamarina. RNAcentral's name for it is "bacterial SSU rRNA". It matches the Rfam family "Bacterial small subunit ribosomal RNA", at positions 81 to 585 of the family's 1533-position model. Lineage: Bacteria; Pseudomonadati; Pseudomonadota; Gammaproteobacteria; Oceanospirillales; Halomonadaceae. The record is from RNAcentral.
CUGGAUGCUGACGAGCGGCGGACGGGUGAGUAAUGCAUAGGAAUCUGCCCGAUAGUGGGGGAUAACCUGGGGAAACCCAGGCUAAUACCGCAUACGUCCUACGGGAGAAAGGGGGCUCCGGCUCCCGCUAUGGGAUGAGCCUAUGUCGGAUUAGCUAGUUGGUGAGGUAACGGCUCACCAAGGCCACGAUCCGUAGCUGGUCUGAGAGGAUGAUCAGCCACAUCGGGACUGAGACACGGCCCGAACUCCUACGGGAGGCAGCAGUGGGGAAUAUUGGACAAUGGGGGAAACCCUGAUCCAGCCAUGCCGCGUGUGUGAAGAAGGCCCUCGGGUUGUAAAGCACUUUCAGCGAGGAAGAACGCCUGGCGGUUAAUACCCGCUAGGAAAGACAUCACUCGCAGAAGAAGCACCGGCUAACUCCGUGCCAGCAGCCGCGGUAAUACGGAGGGUGCAAGCGUUAAUCGGAAUUACUGGGCGUAAAGCGCGCGUAGGUGGCUUGAUA